AUACGUAGGGGCCGAGCGUUGUCCGGAGUUACUGGGCGUAAAGCGUGCGCAGGCGGCUUGUCGCGCCCGGCGUGAAAGCCCCCGGCUCAACCGGGGAGGGUCGUCGGGGACGGGCAGGCUUGAGGACAGCAGGGGCUGGUGGAAUUCCCGGUGUAGUGGUGAAAUGCGUAGAGAUCGGGAGGAACACCUGUGGCGAAGGCGGCCAGCUGGGCUGGACCUGACGCUGAGGCACGAAGGCGUGGGGAGCGAACGGGAUUAGAUACCCCGGUAGUCCACGCAGUAAACGAUGCAGACUAGGCGUGGGGGGACUUGACCCCCUCCGUGCCGGAGCUAACGCGUGAAGUCUGCCGCCUGGGGAGUACGGCCGCAAGGCUAAA
This 377-nucleotide ribosomal RNA is filed under the name uncultured bacterium. RNAcentral describes it as "bacterial SSU rRNA". It matches the Rfam family "Bacterial small subunit ribosomal RNA", at positions 523 to 898 of the family's 1533-position model. The record is from RNAcentral.